AGAGGAGUCAUUAGGGGAUCUUGUUAAAAUGCAGAUUUUGAUUGAGGAGGUCAAGGAGGAGGCCUGGUAUAUUGUACUUUUAACAAGCUCCCAGCUGAUGUUGAU
This 105-nucleotide microRNA precursor is filed under the name Marmota monax (woodchuck). Lineage: Eukaryota; Metazoa; Chordata; Mammalia; Rodentia; Sciuridae. The record is from RNAcentral.